GCGGGGCCUUGUGGGCAUGGUGAGGCGUCUAGACUUCACUCUGGCCACUGUGGGAGCCUUUGAGAAUGCAGCAAGAGCAGGACGUGGGCAUGCUUGAUUUCAGAACGUGACUUCAGUGUGGACAAUGGGUUGAGGGGGCAGAGUGCCCAGUUUGAUGGGGGAGGGGACAUUGUGGUAAGGCAGCAGAGAUGAUGGUGGCCUGAACUUGGUGGUGGCAGUGGAGAUGGGCAGGAGCAGGACGGGCCACAUCUAGGAGGUAGUGUUGACGGCAUUUGGUGGUGGACUGAGUCUGGGGCUGUAGGAGGGGAAUGUCAGAGGUCAAGGGUCAGGAAUGUCUCCCGGUUCCAUCUUGGUAGCUGAGUGUCUGGGGCACGUCCUUUGCCCUUUCCUCUCCCUGCUGUGGAGUUCACAGAUGCUCUGUCUCCUGGGACGUCCCUCGCCUGGUGACUGUGCCUCCUUGAAAAGACAGCUGUGUUGUUGUUGAUGGUGACUGAAGCCUUUCAGCCCGCUGGGAUGCUUGAGAGCUCCCAGCUUGAGGCAGAAUGAGUGAGAAGAACUGCAGAGUGGUCUUUAAAGCAGCCGCGGAUUAUUCAGAGCAAAGGCCAGUGGACAUGAGUAGCCAAGGUCCAGGGCCCAUCCCGCCCUGUCCUUCCCCGGGUGCAGGUGCACGCCACCACCCCCCUACCCCCUGCCUCUGCGCGCUGAGCUCCAGCAGCCUGGGGAGCACAGGGUGUCUUUCACACGGCCUGGAGCCACCGGGCCUCAAGCCGCCCUAGUCCUGGGCUUCUUCCAGUCCCAGCCUCCUGGAGCCUUGUCCGCCCAGAGGCCUGGCUCCCUGCCACAAGUCAAAGGCAAACCGUGUCAAUAGGUCCAGACUCCUGCUGUCACCCCCUCUACCCUACCCCUGACCCGCCUGCUGCACAGGAUUCUGCAAGAAUCGGUGGCUGCUGCUGGGCCUGCAGGCCUUGUGAAGGGCUGGAGGGCAUCAGCUGGGGCCCCGCCCAAGGGACCAACUGUGGAGCCGGAGCCCAGGCCCAAGGGACCAACUGGAGCCAGAGCCCACGUAGAGGGGGCAGGGGUGGCAUGCACAGUCCACAUGGACAGCAGUGUCAUUGCUUUAUGAUCGGACCCUCUGUGUUUAUAGACCACUGUUGCUGUCCAAAAAGGGUCCCACGCCUGGACACUGACCGGCUGGUCAGGCGUGGACAGUGCACGGCAUGGCCCUAAUUCUGCUUGCCUCCCACAGCACAAGCAGUUGCACACUGUUUCUCUGCUCACUGGCUCGGUUUUCCAAGACCUCAAAUCAGGGUCAGUGUUGAAUUUUCCCAGCAUCAUCCACGUGCGAAAAGACGGAGGUCCCAGCCCUUUUCCCCACAGAGGGACUCCCUCACCUUCCUGUUCCCCCAGCAGAAGUCCCCUCAGCUGGUCCUGGUCAGAGCUCAACCUGGCAGAACCCUUCUGGGUCCCACUGCUGUGAACAGGCUGCAGGCCUGAAGCAGGUCUGUCUUGGUGGAUUUGCUGAAGUGGGAAAGAAAGUGGAACCAGGGUUCCGGCAGACUAGGAGCCCCUGGCCGGGGGCAAAUCUGUAGGUGCCUCUCCGGCAGCCUUUGGCCUCGGAGCCAGACCACCCGGGUAAGAUCCUGGCUCUGCAACUUGCUGCCCGGGGCACAUUACUCACCCUCCCUCCCUCUCAGUUUCUGCAUCUGUAA
Long non-coding RNA from Equus asinus (donkey), 1709 nucleotides. The record is from Ensembl. NCBI's taxonomy places the organism in Eukaryota, Metazoa, Chordata, Mammalia, Perissodactyla, Equidae.